UAUUGGCCAAUGGGCGAGAGCCUGAACCAGCCAAGUCGCGCGAAGGAUGACGGCCCUACGGGNUGUAAACUUCUUUUGUCAGGGANNCCNNNGNUCCACGUGUGGGCUUAGCGAGAGUACCUGAAGAAAANNNANANGCUAACUCCGUGCUAGCAGCCGCGGUAAUACGGAGGAUGCGAGCGUUAUCCGGAUUUAUUGGGUUUAAAGGGUGCGUAGGCGGAAUAUCAAGUCAGCGGUAAAAAUUCGGGGCUCAACCCCGUCGUGCCGUUGAAACUGAUGUUCUUGAGUGGGCGAGAAGUAUGCGGAAUGCGUGGUGUAGCGGUGAAAUGCAUAGAUAUCACGCAGAACUCCGAUUGCGAAGGCAGCAUACCGGCGCCCAACUGACGCUGAAGCACGAAAGCGUGGGUAUCGAACAGG
This 417-nucleotide ribosomal RNA is filed under the name uncultured bacterium. Its description in RNAcentral is "partial 16S ribosomal RNA". It matches the Rfam family "Bacterial small subunit ribosomal RNA", at positions 362 to 776 of the family's 1533-position model. The record is from RNAcentral.